RNAcentral lists this ribosomal RNA (263 nucleotides) under Giardia sp. 5676_1. RNAcentral describes it as "partial small subunit ribosomal RNA". The record is from RNAcentral. Lineage: Eukaryota; Fornicata; Diplomonadida; Hexamitidae.
CCGGAAUCCGACGCUCUCCCCAAGGACACAAGCCAUGCAUGCCCGCGCACCCGGGAGGGCGGCGGACGGCUCAGGACAACGGUUGCACCCCCCGCGGCGGUCCCUGCUAGCCGGACACCGCUGGCAACCCGGCGCCAAGACGUGCGCGCAAGGGCGGGCGCCCGCGGGCGAGCAGCGUGACGCAGCGACGGCCCGCCCGGGCUUCCGGGGCAUCACCCGGUCGGCGCGGUCGCGGCGCGCCGAGGGCCCGACGCCUGGCGGAA